Molecule: ribosomal RNA, 406 nt
Filed under: Polaribacter sp. Asnod1A03
Lineage: Bacteria; Pseudomonadati; Bacteroidota; Flavobacteriia; Flavobacteriales; Flavobacteriaceae
Description: bacterial SSU rRNA
Rfam family: Bacterial small subunit ribosomal RNA
Source: RNAcentral
UGCNGCGUGCAGGAAGACUGCCCUAUGGGUUGUAAACUGCUUUUAUACNGGAAGAAACACUAGUACGUGUACUAGCUUGACGGUACUGUAAGAAUAAGGACCGGCUAACUCCGUGCCAGCAGCCGCGGUAAUACGGAGGGUCCGAGCGUUAUCCGGAAUCAUUGGGUUUAAAGGGUCCGCAGGCGGUCAAUUAAGUCAGAGGUGAAAUCCCAUAGCUCAACUAUGGAACUGCCUUUGAUACUGGUUGACUUGAGUCAUAUGGAAGUAGAUAGAAUGUGUAGUGUAGCGGUGAAAUGCAUAGAUAUUACACAGAAUACCGAUUGCGAAGGCAGUCUACUACGUAUGUACUGACGCUGAGGGACGAAAGCGUGGGGAGCGAACAGGAUUAGAUACCCUGGNAGUCCAC